RNAcentral lists this ribosomal RNA (501 nucleotides) under uncultured bacterium. RNAcentral describes it as "partial 16S ribosomal RNA". It matches the Rfam family "Bacterial small subunit ribosomal RNA", at positions 28 to 507 of the family's 1533-position model. The record is from RNAcentral.
GACGAACGCUGGCGGCGUGCCUAAUACAUGCAAGUCGAGCGGACCGGAUUGGGGCUUGCCUUGAUUCGGUCAGCGGCGGACGGGUGAGUAACACGUGGGCAACCUGCCCGCAAGACCGGGAUAACUCCGGGAAACCGGAGCUAAUACCGGAUAACACCGAAGACCGCAUGGUCUUCGGUUGAAAGGCGGCCUUUGGGCUGUCACUUGCGGAUGGGCCCGCGGCGCAUUAGCUAGUUGGUGAGGUAACGGCUCGCCAAGGCGACGAUGCGUAGCCGGCCUGAGAGGGUGACAGGCCACACUGGGACUGAGACACGGCCCAGACUCCUACGGGAGGAAGCAGUAGGGAAUCUUCCGCAAUGGGCGAAAGCCUGACGGGGCGACGCCGCGUGAGCGAAGAAGGCCUUCGGGUCGUAAAGCUCUGUUGUGAGGGACGAAGGAGCGUCGUUCGAAGAGGGCGGCGCGGUGACGGUACCUCACGAGAAAGCCCCGGCUAACUACGUG